AUGACGGAGGUUAUGGCAGGGCAUUUCACCCAUUUAUUCCCCCAGCCGACUGGUUUGUUUCUUCUCUUCCUUCCAACCCCAGAUUUCCCACUCCCUGCCACCCUUUCCCUCAACCCCCUGAAUCCUGUUUACACCCAUGGAGAACAGAUUACCCUGCUCUGCUCAGUUCCUGAUGGGCGGGAAGCGGCAGGAUACACAUUUUACAAGGAGCUACAAGGUCAGGCAUCUGAGGCACUUCCCCGUAAUGAGUUGAUGAUUCCCCAUAAAGCUUUGCGUGUUGGUGAAGAUACGGCCGGGAACUACAGCUGUGCAUAUUCCAUCAGAUUAGAAAAUAAGGAAAUCCAGUCUCCACGUAGCAACAUCAUCUCUGUAGUAAUGGAAGAUUCCUCUCCAUCACCAGGUCCAUCGCUGCUCUAUGCAUGUUUGGCUGUCCCAUUUGUGAUCCUGAUGAUUUCACUCGCUUUUUACUGCAGAUGGAAAAAGACUGGUGCAGUGAAAUGUUGGGGGAAAUCUGAGCUAGAAGAACAGGAGGAGGAGGGACCAGGUGAUCUUGGAACACUGGAGCCCCAGACAACACCCAGUCAGGGCUCAGGUGCCACCUAUGCCCUCCUCCCCUUUUGUUCCACUGCAACUUCCUCAGGACCAGUGAUGGAGAAUGAGCUCCAGCCAGUUGAAGAGGAGGGGCUGUUGUACAGUGAGAUUCUCUUUCCACCAAACAACAGAAGAAGAAAUUGAAGACAAUUGUAGAGGUUUCUGGUCAAGUUGGGUCCUACAUUGCUAGCCAAUUGGUGGAUUGCACUGAGGGAUGACUGACAGGCAUCUUGACUGUCAUAUCAAAUGCCAAUGUUUUGUGUAAACUGUGUCUGGAACUAUGCAAAACUUGCUAAAUUCUCAGGAAUAUCACACCUUGGCCUGCCUGAGCCACAGUAACUCCACCUUAGGUGUGAUAUAGUAAUUUCUGACUGUUUGUAGAGCGGAUGUCCUCCUUCACACCAAAAUUUUUGUUGUUGUUUAGUCGUGUAGUCAUGUCCGACUCUUUGUGACCC
RNAcentral lists this long non-coding RNA (1046 nucleotides) under Podarcis muralis (Common wall lizard). RNAcentral's name for it is "lncRNA (ENSPMRG00000021274.1)". Lineage: Eukaryota; Metazoa; Chordata; Lepidosauria; Squamata; Lacertidae. The record is from RNAcentral.